Molecule: ribosomal RNA, 107 nt
Filed under: Tetraodon nigroviridis (spotted green pufferfish)
Lineage: Eukaryota; Metazoa; Chordata; Actinopteri; Tetraodontiformes; Tetraodontidae
Description: partial 5.8S ribosomal RNA
Rfam family: 5.8S ribosomal RNA
About the family: 5.8S ribosomal RNA (5.8S rRNA) is a component of the large subunit of the eukaryotic ribosome. It is transcribed by RNA polymerase I as part of the 45S precursor that also contains 18S and 28S rRNA. Functionally, it is thought that 5.8S rRNA may be involved in ribosome translocation.
Source: RNAcentral
UAGCUGCGAGAACUAAUGUGAAUUGCAGGACACAUUGAUCAUCGACACUUCGAACGCACCUUGCGGCCCCGGGUUCCUCCCGGGGCUACGCCUGUCUGAGGGUCGCU